This 454-nucleotide ribosomal RNA is filed under the name uncultured bacterium. RNAcentral's name for it is "bacterial SSU rRNA". It matches the Rfam family "Bacterial small subunit ribosomal RNA", at positions 28 to 507 of the family's 1533-position model. The record is from RNAcentral.
GAUGAACGUUGGCGGCGUGCCUAACACAUGCAAGUCGAACGGAAAUAGCAAUAUUUGAGUGGCGCACGGGUGAGUAACACGUAGCUAAUCUACCUCAAAGCGCGGGAUAACGUGUCGAAAGACAGGCUAAUACCGCAUAAGCUCCCGGUCUGUAGAGGGUUGGGAGAAAAGGCGUAAGUCACUUUGAGAUGAGGCUGCGGCCCAUCAGCUAGUUGGUGCGGUAAUGGCGUACCAAGGCGACGACGGGUAGGGGACCUGAGAGGGUGACCCCCCACACUGGGACUGAGACACGGCCCAGACUCCUACGGGAGGCAGCAGUGAGGAAUAUUGCACAAUGGGCGAAAGCCUGAUGCAGCGACGCCGCGUGGGUGAAGAAGGUUUUCGGAUCGUAAAACCCUUUUCUGUGUGACGAGCAAGGACGGUAGCACAGGAAUAAGUCUCGGCUAACUACGUG